AGGAUGAACGCUGGCGGCGUGCCUAACACAUGCAAGUCGAACGUCCUGUCUCGCAAGAGGCAGGGAGUGGCGGACGGGUGAGUACCACGUGGGUCAUCUACCGUGAGGUGAGGAAUACCGGCGAGAAAUCGCCGACAAGACCGCAUAGGCUCGAUGCAAGUCGAGCAAAGCUCUUUCGAGAGAGGGAGCGCCACACGAGGAGCCUGCGCCCGAUUAGCUAGCUGGUGGAGUAACGGUUCACCAGGGCGACGAUCGGUAGCUGGUCUGAGAGGACGAUCAGCCACACUGGGAUUGAGAACGGCCCAGACUCCUACGGGGGGCAGCAGUGAGGAAUUUCGUCAAUGGGGGCAACCCUGAACGAGCAACGCCGCGUGCAGGAAGAAGGUUUCGGAUCGUAAACUGCUUUUCUCGGGGAAGAGGAACGGACGGUACCCGAGGAAUCAGCCCGGCUAACUACGCGCCAGCAGCCGCGU
Molecule: ribosomal RNA, 473 nt
Filed under: uncultured bacterium
Lineage: Bacteria
Description: SSU rRNA
Rfam family: Bacterial small subunit ribosomal RNA
Source: RNAcentral